Molecule: ribosomal RNA, 164 nt
Filed under: uncultured Burkholderiaceae bacterium
Lineage: Bacteria; Pseudomonadati; Pseudomonadota; Betaproteobacteria; Burkholderiales; Burkholderiaceae
Description: partial 16S ribosomal RNA
Source: RNAcentral
UGUCUUACAUCCCAGGUAAAGAGCUUUAAAACCUAAAGACUUUAUCAAUCACGCGGCAUUGCUGGAUCAGGGUUUCCCCCAUUGGCCAAAAAUCCCUAAUGGUGCCUCCCCUAAGAGGCAGGCGGGGGGAAUAUUUGACAAUGGGGGAAACGCUGAUCGAGCAA